This 253-nucleotide ribosomal RNA is filed under the name uncultured bacterium. Its description in RNAcentral is "partial 16S ribosomal RNA". It matches the Rfam family "Bacterial small subunit ribosomal RNA", at positions 524 to 776 of the family's 1533-position model. The record is from RNAcentral.
UACGGAGGGUCCAAGCGUUAUCCGGAAUCAUUGGGUUUAAAGGGUCCGUAGGCGGUUUUGUAAGUCAGUGGUGAAAGCCCAUCGCUCAACGGUGGAACGGCCAUUGAUACUGCAAGACUUGAAUUAUUGGGAAGUAACUAGAAUAUGUAGUGUAGCGGUGAAAUGCUUAGAGAUUACAUGGAAUACCAAUUGCGAAGGCAGGUUACCACCAAUAUAUUGACGCUGAUGGACGAAAGCGUGGGGAGCGAACAGG